Non-coding RNA from Camellia sinensis, 797 nucleotides. The record is from RefSeq and is a predicted model, not a curated record. NCBI's taxonomy places the organism in Eukaryota, Viridiplantae, Streptophyta, Magnoliopsida, Ericales, Theaceae.
UUCUCCUUUUGCCCUUUCUCCUUCAAUUGUUGUGACAGCCCUAAGCCUCAAGAGAGAGGCAGACUCGAAUAGCUCCUCCGACGCAGAGGAGGGUGGGCGACGGCGACUCCGGAGGCGACAGUAGCUGCAACUAGGCGAGAUGAGGCGGCGGUUUGAUUUCUAGGAGUUUGCUCCCCUCUUUUCCUUUCUCUCUCAUCAGUUUCAAAGCCCUAAUCAGUUUCAAAGAACAGAGGAAUGGUCUGAACUGAACCCCCUCCAUUGAUUCUUUGUCUUCCCUUUCCAUCCGAUCUCCUAUGGCGUCAAUGUCUAGAUUUGUUGCCAAAGAUUGUAGAUUGCAGCCUCACCAUGCUCUUUACAAGCAAAACUAUUUGCUUACAUAUAAGGAAGAUUGAAUCCACAAAAAUAGUGGAAAAGAUGAGUGAUUGGAGUAAGGGUUGAAGCCCAACAAAGUGUACUAUUAUCAAUGUGGAGAUCAUUCUAUACCAGUAAUGAGUAAUGUGUCCUACAAAUGCAACACAAAGAAGUGAUGGAAUUAUAAGAGAGAGUUGUGCUAUUGCAAAGUGAAGUUACAAGAUAUGGAGAGUGUUAGUGAACAACUUUGAUUUUUGACCGCGAAGACACAAUAAGCAAUAAACAUUUGAUCGUAUAAUUGGUGUUACUUGUAAUUGCUAUUAUUUUAAUUAUGAAGCAGUAACUAUGUUUCAAUGUUGUAAUUGACUAGUUUUAUUUUUGAAAUGGUUGGGAAUGUAAAACUUCUGAAAAUUGUGAAAUUUGAAAUGUUGUUGCUAUUAUUGAAA